GUGCCACGAUUCUUUCGUUUGGAGGCAUUCUGCAUUUCGCCGCCGCCUCACUCGUGGCCUGUUACUUCAUGGAGAAGUCUUGCUUGGGGACUCUGGGUACCCGCUAGAGCCAUGGAUCAUGACUCCUUUGCCAGGUCACCCAAAUCGCCUCACGGCAGAGGGGCGCUAUAAUGAGGCACACGCAUCAAUGCGAAAUGCCGUUGAGCGGUGCAUAGGAGUCGUCAAGAGCCGCUUCCGAUGCCUGCAGAGGUAUCGGGUGCUCCACUACUCGCCUCAGAAAGCAGCCACUAUUGUUGCAGCUUGUGCAGCGCUGCAUAACCUCUGCCUUGCAGCAGGCGUGCCUCUGCCAGACGACCCAGAUGACGACGGUGCACAUGACGACAGCGCACAGGGGCCAGCCCAGGCACAAGUGCCGCUUCAAGUACAGGUGCCACCGCAGGCGCACCCUGUACAGCCUUCUCGAGCUUUGUUUCAAAGAGGCCGUGCGGUGCGCGAAUCCAUAGUUGGUGUGUUUCGGCUGCCCAGAAAUUUGCGCAUUGCCUACCUGCAAAGUGUGCGCUGGCGCAUUCGCUGGCAAAUGAGGCGGAGACAUGUGCUGGUGUGACAUGUUUUAUUUUUCUUUUCAUGAAAGUAAAUAGGCCGUGCACUUCAACAUAACACAUUGCGCGUGCUGACAUGUGGCUAAUCAUAGUAUGCUGCAUACUGCAGUAGUGAAAAGCACAUGAUUUGUCUAUGUUGAGCAUGACAGAUACACAUGCAGUGACAAAUAACCAUGUGCCAUUAUGUUACUCCUUUGCUUUGUUCACUGUGCUUUUGAAUAUUGUCUCGCCAGGGAAUUUUCUUUUUAAAUAAAGGUUAUUUCCAAGGUGAAUGGCAA
Molecule: non-coding RNA, 877 nt
Organism: Dermacentor andersoni
Lineage: Eukaryota; Metazoa; Arthropoda; Arachnida; Ixodida; Ixodidae
Source: RefSeq, a predicted model, not a curated record